Molecule: transfer RNA, 71 nt
Filed under: Firmicutes bacterium CAG:466
Lineage: Bacteria; Bacillati; Bacillota
Description: transfer RNA-Trp(CCA)
Rfam family: tRNA
About the family: Transfer RNA (tRNA) molecules are approximately 80 nucleotides in length. Their secondary structure includes four short double-helical elements and three loops (D, anti-codon, and T loops).
Source: RNAcentral
AGGCGGUUAGUUUAAUGGCAAAAUAAUGGUCUCCAACACCAAAGAUAGAGGUUCGACUCCUUUACUGCCUG